Molecule: non-coding RNA, 93 nt
Organism: Podarcis lilfordi (Lilford's wall lizard)
Lineage: Eukaryota; Metazoa; Chordata; Lepidosauria; Squamata; Lacertidae
Source: the annotation of a GenBank genome assembly
UCGCUGCCCUGGCUUCCUCUUUAGCCUUGUGCGCCUCUCCAGCGGGAGGGGGGGGGAGGCUGCGCAAGGUUAAAGAGGAAGCCAGGGCAGCGA